This 279-nucleotide ribosomal RNA is filed under the name uncultured bacterium. RNAcentral's name for it is "partial 16S ribosomal RNA". It matches the Rfam family "Bacterial small subunit ribosomal RNA", at positions 506 to 784 of the family's 1533-position model. The record is from RNAcentral.
UGCCAGCAGCCGCGGUAAUACGUGGGGAGCGAGCGUUGUUCGGAUUUACUGGGCGUAAAGAGCACGUAGGCGGGUAUGCAAGUCGGUUGUGAAAUCCCCUGGCUCAACCAGGGAACUGCUGCCGAAACUGUAUACCUUGAGUCCAGCAUGGGGAAUCGGAAUCUCUAGUGUAGCGGUGAAAUGCUUAGAUAUUAGGGAGAACACCAGUGGCGAAGGCGGAUUCCUGGGCUGGUACUGACGCUGAGGUGCCAAAGUGUAGGGAUCAAACCGGAUUAGAUA